RNAcentral lists this ribosomal RNA (497 nucleotides) under uncultured bacterium. Its description in RNAcentral is "partial 16S ribosomal RNA". It matches the Rfam family "Bacterial small subunit ribosomal RNA", at positions 28 to 507 of the family's 1533-position model. The record is from RNAcentral.
GAUGAACGCUGGCGGCGUGCCUAAUACAUGCAAGUCGAGCGAACGGGCGAGAGGCUUGCUUCUCUGACGUUAGCGGAGGACGGGUGAGUCACACGUGGAUCCCCCACCUAUCUGACUGGGAUCACUUCGGGACACCGGCGCUAAUCCCGGAUAAUCUUUUGCUGCGUAUGGUUCAAAGGUGAAAGUCGGCCUUGCUGUCUCUUCUCGCUGGUUCCGGGCUGCAUUAGCUGGUUGGUAAGGUCCCAGCCUACCACGGCAACGAGGCAUAGCCGACCGGCCAGGGUGAUAGCCCACACGGGAAGGGAACCGCGGUCAUGGCGCCUGCGGGAGGCAGCAGUAGGGAAUCGGCCGCAAUGGUCGAAAGCCUGACGCAGCAACGCCGCGUGAGUGAUGAAGGUGUUCGGAUCGGAAAACCCUGUUAUGAGGGAAGAACAUAUGUGGAAUGAACUGAGCACAGCUUGACGGUACCGAAUCAGAAAGCCACGGCUAACUACGUG